CCAACACAAAAGCUCAGCUCUGGUAUAAAAAUGAGGAAUUGAAAGUGAGUACAGAUGAUAUUUCUAGAUUGUCAAGUUUUACAAAAUGUGUAAAAGAAAACAAGCAGUAUCAAGACCUGAAGGAAAACUACAGGUUGCAGAAGAAAAUGGCUGGUGGAAAUGCAGCAGGAAGAAUAACAUGGUUCUGAAACCAGCAUCCUUUCCUACUUGGAGCGUAGGGCUGAAACCGUGAGGCGAUUUCUCUACUUUGCUGGCUGUGUUUCCUGAGCAAGUGACAAGAUGGAGCUGAUUAAAAGAAGACAAGGGAAGUCUCAGUGCCAGACCACUUCAGAAAUGAAGCAUUCCAGAAAGUUGUCAUGAACCAAAGACUACAAUUAAUCCAAUUCCAUGGACCUGAGUUCCAUAAAGAGGAAAACAAGAAAGAAAACCAACUCAGAUGCUCAUUCUUGAUGGCACCAUGUGGUUGGCCUGUGGUGGUGCUUGUCUGGACAAAACUGUGGACUGUCUCUCCAGGAGACAAUUGUACUCCCUGGGGUUUGACUCCCUCAAAUGAUUGCUCCGGGUGCUCAACACUCUGCUGAUUCACUCCUCCCUCAUUUUCCCAAGGGGGAAGCCAGUUGCCAUGUCAUGAAAACAUUCAAGCAGCUCUCUGGAGAAGUCCACUUGGCAAGGAACAGAGGUCUCCUGCCAAAAUCAGAAAGGAAUCGAGACUCCCUGCAAACAGUCAUGUGAAUGAGCCCUCUUGGAAGUGGGUUGUCCAGCCCCAGUCAAUCCUUCAGAUGAUGCAGAUCCAGCUAUAAAGACUCUGAGCCUCAACUAUCAGCUAAGCCACUCCAGGUGCCCGACCCACAGGAACUGUGAGAUGAUAAAUGUCUGAUAUUUCAAGCUGCUUAAUUUUGGGGGUAAUUUGUUAUACAGCAAUGGAUAACUAAUACAAGUCCUAAAACUAAAUGAAAGAGCUGUGCAGGAAUAAGAUACACAAAUUGGAGUUACAUUCUCGACCAGGAAUUGGUAAGGCUGGCUUAGUCUCUGCUCUGGUUCAGCUGGAGGAUAAUUGUCUAACUUGAGGAAAAGUUUGUCCUGUGAUAGUGACAGUCCCUAGUGAGGUGUUUUUGCCUCAUUUAUCCUUGUAUUGCUAGCUCCAUCACAUCACUUGACCUGAAAGAGGGCCUUGAUGAAUUCUGGUUGAAUGACUGACUGAAGAAAUAAUGAACACCUCUGUUUCUUCACUUAGAAAAAGGUGAAGGCUUAUUGUUGUUCCAUAACCUUCUUCCAAAUUUGAUCAAAUUAAGUUAGGGGAUAUAUAAUAAGAGGGGCUGGAGCAUUUUGAUCUAGAAGACAAGAAUGCUUGGAGAUGCCAUCGUCCUCAUGGAUGAUUUAUGGAAUGGUGGACUAUCAGGAUCUCACUCUUCAGUAACAGGGAACACAUUAAAUAUACUUUGGAAAAAUUAGCUAAUGAAAUAUCAUGUAGCCAUUUGAAACAAUGUUGCAGAACUAUAUUUUGUGACUUGAGAUGUUUAUAAUAUUUUGAUCAGAACAGAGUCUGCCACAUUAAGUAGGAUCUUACUAAAUAUUUGUUGAAUACGUAGAUGAAUGGAGGUUUAGAAGAGUAUAAGCUACUUUUCAUAUAAAAAUACUAAUAUAUUCAAAGAGAAAACCA
Molecule: long non-coding RNA, 1660 nt
Organism: Pan troglodytes (chimpanzee)
Lineage: Eukaryota; Metazoa; Chordata; Mammalia; Primates; Hominidae
Exons: 7
Source: RefSeq, a predicted model, not a curated record